This 301-nucleotide ribosomal RNA is filed under the name uncultured bacterium. RNAcentral describes it as "partial 16S ribosomal RNA". It matches the Rfam family "Bacterial small subunit ribosomal RNA", at positions 509 to 807 of the family's 1533-position model. The record is from RNAcentral.
CAGUCGCCGCGGUAAUACGAAGGGGGCUAGCGUUGCUCGGAAUGACUGGGCGUAAAGGGCGCGUAGGCGGUUUGGCAAGUCUUGUGUGAAAUCUUCGGGCUCAACCCGAAGCCUGCACGAGAAACUACAGGGCUUGAGUAUUGGAGAGGUGAGUGGAAUUUCCGGUGUAGCGGUGAAAUGCGUAGAUAUCGGAAGGAACACCUGUGGCGAAGGCAGCCCCCUGGGCCAAUACUGACGCUCAUGCACGAAAGCGUGGGGAGCAAGCAGGAUUAGAUACCCCCGUAGUCCCUGUCUCUUAUAC